AACGCAACUUGCGCUCCUUGGUAUUCCGAGGAGCAUGCCUGUCUGAGCGUCUUUGUACUCUCAAACCCGGAAUCCCGGGUUUGGAACUUGGGAGCUUGCGGGCGUCCUUCCGGUCGUCGGCUCUCCUGAAAUGCAUUAGCGAGGGAUGACACCGAACCUGGCGUGGCGCUCGACGUCGUAAGGAUCGUCGUGGGUCGCGGGUGCAGGCGAGGCGUCGUCUCGUGCUUCCAGCGUCGGCGAGCUCUUCCCAGAGCCGCCAUCGGAGGUCAGACCUCAGAUCAGGCAGGACCACCCGCUGAACUUAA
This 305-nucleotide unclassified non-coding RNA is filed under the name uncultured Gyroporus. RNAcentral's name for it is "sequence contains ITS2". The stretch from base 1 to 52 matches the Rfam family "5.8S ribosomal RNA", at positions 103 to 154 of the family's 154-position model. Lineage: Eukaryota; Fungi; Basidiomycota; Agaricomycetes; Boletales. The record is from RNAcentral.